This 301-nucleotide ribosomal RNA is filed under the name uncultured bacterium. RNAcentral describes it as "partial 16S ribosomal RNA". It matches the Rfam family "Bacterial small subunit ribosomal RNA", at positions 509 to 809 of the family's 1533-position model. The record is from RNAcentral.
CAGUCGCCGCGGUAAUACGUAGGUGGCAAGCGUUGUCCGGAAUUAUUGGGCAUAAAGGGCUCGCAGGCGGUUUCUUAAGUCUGAUGUGAAAGCCCCCGGCUCAACCGGGGAGGGUCAUUGGAAACUGGGAAACUUGAGUGCAGAAGAGGAGAGUGGAAUUCCACGUGUAGCGGUGAAAUGCGUAGAGAUGUGGAGGAACACCAGUGGCGAAGGCGGCUCUCUGGUCUGUCACUGACGCUGAGGCUCGAGAGCGUGGGUAGCGAACAGGAUUAGAUACCCCCGUAGUCCCUGUCUCUUAUAU